Molecule: non-coding RNA, 1371 nt
Organism: Oryctolagus cuniculus (rabbit)
Lineage: Eukaryota; Metazoa; Chordata; Mammalia; Lagomorpha; Leporidae
Source: RefSeq, a predicted model, not a curated record
UAACACCCCAGGAGGAAGACCAAAAAAGGGGGCUCUGUAUUUUUAGGGGUGACGGAAUACUUCCGGCCCGUGAAGGCUUGAGAUGUUAAUUAUAGGACCUGUGGAUGUCAGCAGAGCUCUUUUAAGAGAACAGCUUAAGAGCCUCCAACACAGAGCCCGUUUUAGAAAUGGCCGACAAAGACAGCACAAGCGAAAUACGCAAGAGCCUGCUACGCAGGGCGGUGCCCGGCAACAGGCGCAGCCUCCCCCUACGCCGUUGCUAGGAGACCGGAGAGCCACACUUCCAUCAUCUCCAUCCUUGCUGUGAGGUUGAGUAAUUGGUGUCUGGAUGUGCGUGUGCUGGUUCCCAAAAUAUCUCUUUCCAAAGACGUGAGAGGAGCACCAAGAGAGAUUCCACAGAUCACAGCAGUGAGGGGCUCCAUUCAUUGUGUUGAGCCCAUUGAUGAUGUAUGUUUUCUGCAGAAGAGGAGAGGCACCUCACCGUUAAUCUCUCUGCCUCCUUAGAAAGUUCUUUUGCCCUUGUGCCAAGCAUGAGAUGAAGGCUGGGGAAUAGGAGACCCGAGCCCAUGGGCAGUAGUUCGGAGGAGGCAGAUGUUGGUUCAGCACCAGGAAGUCCUUGCUAAGGAAGUACUGUGAAAUGCAAAUGGACUGGUGUCACUUUGAAAUCAGCCAAGAUGCAGUGGAUCUUAGUAAAGCAAUGGACCUCAAAACAGAUUGCAAAACAAGAACUGGUGUAAGCCAUCCAAAACCAAGAAGAACAGUAAUAAUAAUAAAUAAAUAGAAGUGAAUCCAUAGAAACUCUCGAUGUCUGUACAGCAGAAGUGACAAAGUAGUGGCAGAGAAAAGAGGAGAAGGAAAGAGAACAAGACAUCUUCCAUCCACUGGUUCACUCCCUAGUGCAACAGCCAAGUCUGGGCCAGAGUGAAGCCAGGAUUGAAGAACUCCAUCCAAGUCUCCCACACGGAUGCAAGGACCCAAGCACUUGGGCCAUCUUCCACUGCUUUCCCAGGCACAUGAGCAGGCAGCUGGAUCAUAAGUGGAGCGCCUGGGACGUCAGUGUCACAAGAAGUGGUUUAACCUCCCCCCUUCCCAAUGCUGAUCCCAUCGUCAAAAAUACUUUUAAAAAUAUUAUUUGAAAUUCUCUUUCUCUCAGAAUGAGCGAGGAGCAAAUAUGAUAAUUGAUUAGGUAGAUUCUUACCUUAUAUAUUACCAUAUAUCAUCUAUCUACAUCUAUAUUAUAUAUCUCUAUAUACCUAUAUAUAACCAGAUAGAUAGAUAGAAACCCUUACCCAUACUUCUUGGUUGGAAGAAGACUCUAAUUAACAAAAUAACUGACAGCAGGGAGUGCUGUAUUCAUAACAAACAAUGUAC